CAAGUUUUAAGUUUGAAAGAUGCAAUUGCAUCACUCAAAGAUGAUCCCGCGUUGUAUUAGCUAGUUGGUGAGGUAAAGGCUCACCAAGGCGAUGAUACAUAGCCGACCUGAGAGGGUGAUCGGCCACAUUGGGACUGAGACACGGCCCAAACUCCUACGGGAGGCAGCAGUAGGGAAUCUUCGGCAAUGGACGAAAGUCUGACCGAGCAACGCCGCGUGAGUGAAGAAGGUUUUCGGAUCGUAAAACUCUGUUGGUAGAGAAGAACGUUGGUGAGAGUGGAAAGCUCAUCAAGUGACGGUAACUACCCAGAAAGGGACGGCUAACUACGUGCCAGCAGCCGCGGUAAUACGUAGGUCCCGAGCGUUGUCCGGAUUUAUUGGGCGUAAAGCGAGCGCAGGUGGUUUAUUAAGUCUGGUGUAAAAGGCAGUGGCUCAACCAUUGUAUGCAUUGGAAACUGGUAGACUUGAGUGCAGGAGAGGAGAGUGGAAUUCCAUGUGUAGCGGUGAAAUGCGUAGAUAUAUGGAGGAACACCGGUGGCGAAAGCGGCUCUCUGGCCUGUAACUGACACUGAGGCUCGAAAGCGUGGGGAGCAAACAGGAUUAGAUACCCUGGUAGUCCACGCCGUAAACGAUGAGUGCUAGAUGUAGGGAGCUAUAAGUUCUCUGUAUCGCAGCUAACGCAAUAAGCACUCCGCCUGGGGAGUACGACCGCAAGGUUGAAACUCAAAGGAAUUGACGGGGGCCCGCACAAGCGGUGGAGCAUGU
RNAcentral lists this ribosomal RNA (765 nucleotides) under Lactococcus lactis subsp. lactis. RNAcentral describes it as "bacterial SSU rRNA". It matches the Rfam family "Bacterial small subunit ribosomal RNA", at positions 188 to 942 of the family's 1533-position model. Lineage: Bacteria; Bacillati; Bacillota; Bacilli; Lactobacillales; Streptococcaceae. The record is from RNAcentral.